CUGAGGUUUGAGUCGAGCUGACGGAGCUGUUGAAGGAAUCCAGCGUUGGGAAGAAUGUUUCGGUGGGAGCAAACCGCAUCAAUGGCUUCUGCGAUGGUCUGACCUCAUCAAGAUGGCCGCUGGUUCCAGGUUUGACCCACAGAAGUCUCUGGAGGUCAGCGGCAUCCGGCGUCUCGUACCGGCCGUCUCCACCGGUGCGUGGCAUAUCGGCCCGCUUUACACCCGUCCUGCAAGAACUGAACAGCCUUUGGUCUGUUCGAACCCAAAAAUGAUCUACAAAAAGAGUUUAAUAUCUCACUGAAUGCUUUGAUUAAAUGGGAAACACCAGCACAGAUAUUCGAAACUCCUAUUUUAUGUUCCAUGGAAAACAACAUGAAGGUCCAGAUCCAGGAGCAGAGCCAGGAAGUUUCUGUUGGGAUAAAUGGCUCGUUUCUGGACGAUACGCCGUAAGGCCGUGUGCAGAGGCAUGUCAUGAUAGAGCAUCAG
This is a non-coding RNA of Pimephales promelas (fathead minnow), 486 nucleotides long. The record is from RefSeq and is a predicted model, not a curated record. Lineage: Eukaryota; Metazoa; Chordata; Actinopteri; Cypriniformes; Leuciscidae.